Molecule: ribosomal RNA, 492 nt
Filed under: uncultured bacterium
Lineage: Bacteria
Description: partial 16S ribosomal RNA
Rfam family: Bacterial small subunit ribosomal RNA
Source: RNAcentral
AGUGAACGCUGGCGGUAGGCCUAACACAUGCAAGUCGAACGGCAGCACAGUAAGAGCUUGCUCUUACGGGUGGCGAGUGGCGGACGUGUGAGGAAUACAUCGGAAUCUACUUUUUCGUGGGGGUUAACGUAGGGAAACUUACGCUAAUAUCGCAUACGCCCUACGGGGGAAAGCAGUGGAUCUUCGGACCUUGCGCGAUUGAAUGAGCGGAUGUCGGGUUAGCUAGUUGGCGGGGUAAUGGCCCACCAAGGCGAGGAUCCGUAGCUGGUCUGAGAGGAUGAUCAGCCACACUGGAACUGAGACACGGUCCAGACGCCUACGGGAGGCAGCAGUGGGGAAUAUUAGACAAUGGGCGCAAGCCUGAUCCAGCCAUACCGCGUGGGUGAAGAAGGCCUUCGGGUUGUAAAGCCCUUUUGUUGGGAAAGAAAAGCAGCAGGUUAAUACCCCGCUGUUCUGACGGUACCCAAAGAAUAAGCACCGGCUAACUUCGUG